AGCGCAGGUGGUUUAUUAAGUCUGGUGUAAAAGGCAGUGGCUCAACCAUUGUAUGCAUUGGAAACUGGGAGACUUGAGUGCAGGAGAGGAGAGUGGAAUUCCAUGUGUAGCGGUGAAAUGCGUAGAUAUAUGGAGGAACACCGGAGGCGAAAGCGGCUCUCUGGCCUGUAACUGACACUGAGGCUCGAAAGCGUGGGAGCAAACA
Molecule: ribosomal RNA, 205 nt
Filed under: uncultured bacterium
Lineage: Bacteria
Description: partial 16S ribosomal RNA
Rfam family: Bacterial small subunit ribosomal RNA
Source: RNAcentral